RNAcentral lists this small nuclear RNA (116 nucleotides) under Aotus nancymaae (Ma's night monkey). Its description in RNAcentral is "U5 spliceosomal RNA (ENSANAG00000000946.1)". It matches the Rfam family "U5 spliceosomal RNA". Rfam says of the family: U5 RNA is a component of both types of known spliceosome. The precise function of this molecule is unknown, though it is known that the 5' loop is required for splice site selection and p220 binding, and that both the 3' stem-loop and the Sm site are important for Sm protein binding and cap methylation. Lineage: Eukaryota; Metazoa; Chordata; Mammalia; Primates; Aotidae. The record is from Rfam by way of RNAcentral.
AUACUUUGAUUGUCCUUAGUAUUUUCUAAAUCUUUCACCUUUUACUGAAGAUUUCCGUGGAGAGGAACCACUCUGAGCUUUAACCAAUUUUUUAAGGUCUUAUGUUUGCAAAGGUU